This 412-nucleotide ribosomal RNA is filed under the name uncultured Pseudomonas sp. RNAcentral's name for it is "bacterial SSU rRNA". It matches the Rfam family "Bacterial small subunit ribosomal RNA", at positions 973 to 1382 of the family's 1533-position model. Lineage: Bacteria; Pseudomonadati; Pseudomonadota; Gammaproteobacteria; Pseudomonadales; Pseudomonadaceae. The record is from RNAcentral.
ACCAGGCCUUGACAUGCAGAGAACUUUCCAGAGAUGGAUUGGUGCCUUCGGGAACUCUGACACAGGUGCUGCAUGGCUGUCGUCAGGCUCCGUGUCGUGAGAUGUUGGGUUAAGUCCCGUAACGAGCGCAACCCUUGUCCUUAGUUACCAGCACGUUAUGGUGGGCACUCUAAGGAGACUGCCGGUGACAAACCGGAGGAAGGUGGGGAUGACGUCAAGUCAUCAUGGCCCUUACGGCCUGGGCUACACACGUGCUACAAUGGUCGGUACAAAGGGUUGCCAAGCCGCGAGGUGGAGCUAAUCCCAUAAAACCGAUCGUAGUCCGGAUCGCAGUCUGCAACUCGACUGCGUGAAGUCGGAAUCGCUAGUAAUCGUGAAUCAGAAUGUCACGGUGAAUACGUUCCCGGGCCUU